This 2697-nucleotide small RNA is filed under the name Pan troglodytes (chimpanzee). RNAcentral describes it as "retained intron". The record is from RNAcentral. Lineage: Eukaryota; Metazoa; Chordata; Mammalia; Primates; Hominidae.
UUAGUGCCAUCCUGUUAGCUUCCUUGAACAAGGUAAUGCCACCUAACAUGUUUUUUCAGACUUCCAGGACAAUGAUCGGGGGACUUCUCCAUGCCACACUGGGAGGUGUGAAGGCGUAGGCUUUAGGGCAACCCCUCUGAGAAGGGGUGGCAGGUGGAGGAGCCCAUUGAUCCUCUCUAUCAGGGAUGGAUUUGCUUUCUGUGGGUGUCACCUUCAGGGGCCUGUGUUCCCACUCAUCACAGGAGCUCACAUUUACUCAGUGGGGCCAGAGUGUUCUUCAUACAUGGUGAUUUUACUCCUCACCAUAACCUCCGUGGUGCGUGCUAACAUGACCACCAUUUUGCAGAUGAGAACAUGGAGGCUUGCAGGGGAGGUAAGUUGCCCCGGGUUCCAUGCUGAAUCAGAGGUCAAGCUCAGCACACAGCACAGGACCAAGUCUGCUGGUUCCCAAGCUCACGUCCUUACCUACAACUCUGAAUCACCCCACAGCAGAGUCAACAAGCUGGCCUGGCAUGUGAAGAAGCAAGCCUGCGUGUCUCCUGGCUGCCAGUGCCUUCCCUGCCCCGGGACCCUAAUCCACAGUUUGAUUCUGGUCCUUUUGCCCUCUGUCCCUCGCCAGAACCCUGAUAUUUCCAGAUGAAAACACGAGUAUAGCUUAUUUCCACAACUCACCUGGGCCCAGCAAUCAAGAUCUAUAGCUAUAGGGAAGUAUUGAGUUGAUUAUGAGUUAUAUAGGUCAAAAUGAGUAGCUUGCUUGAUUGAAGCAGGUAAUUCGUGCCAUACUUUUCUCUUUGGGAAGACCUGUACCAACAAUAACCUCUGCUAAACACUUUCGCUUUUUUAAAUUUGCAGGUACUUUUUUGGGGCUGUCUUUGGCUGCCUGUCUGUUGAGAGUUUGUUUUCUUUACAGUCCAUCUGAUUUACAGUCCAUCCGGGUUGAUUUGUCUCAUUUGGGAAUGAGAAAUUUUAUUUUAAUGCAUUAAGUAAUAGUGUUGAGUGGCCAACAAAUGUGAAGUUUGAAAAGCUCAAAUGAAAAAAAAAGUGUGAUAGAAACACAGAGUUGGGGGCCGGGUGCAGUGGCUCACACCUGUAUUUCUGGCACUCUGGGAGGCCAAGACAGGAGGAUCCCUUGAGCUCAGGAGUUUAAGACCCCUGGGCAACAUGGCAAGACCCCAAGACCCCAUCUCUACAAAAAAAAUGUAAAAAUCAGCCAGGGGUAAUCCCAGCUACUUGGGAGGCUGAGGUGAAAGGAUUGCUUGAGCCCGGGAGGUUGAGGCUGCAGUGAGCUGUGAUUGAUCUACUGGACUCCAGCCUGAGUGACAGAGCAAGACCCUAUCUAAAAAAAAAAACAAAAAAAAACAGAAAAGAAGAAGAAGAACACAGGUUGGAAUUUGAGGGGGCCUGUUAAAUAGGAUGCUCUUUCCUGCCUUAGUUUUGAAUUAACUGAGAAGAUAAAAUAAUAAGGCAUGGAGAUUAGAGCAUCCCCUUUCUUUUUUUCUUUUUCUUUUCUUUUUUCUUUUUUUUCUUUUUUACUUUUUGCUCUUCUUGGCCAGGCUGGAGUGCAAUGGCACAAUCUUGGCUCACCACAACCUCCGCCUCACGGGUUCAAGCAAUUCUCUUGCCUCAGCCUCCCCAGUAGCUGGGGUUACAGCCAUGUGCCACCAUGCCCAGCUAAUUUUGUAUUUUCAGUAGAGACAGGGUUUCUCCAUGUUGGUCAGGCUGGUCUCGAACUCCCCACCUCAGGUAAUCCACCCACCUCGGCCUCCCAAAGUGCUGGGAAUACAGGCAUGAGCCACCAGGCCCGGCAGCAUCCCCUUUCUUAUUGAUAAAGCAGAUCUUGGAGAAUGGGAGAUCCUAAGUGGGGUUCCUAAUGCUAGCCUUCAACAUCAGGCUGAGGCUCACCUUGUCUUCAAGUAAUGGGCAGUGCUGGCCUGAGGGGGAGCCUCCUCUGUCCAGGGCUCAGCUUAUCCUUGGAAGGCUUAGCACAUGGAGGAGCUGCUCCAGGCUAAGAGGGAGGGACUGGGGUACUCUGUAGAGGUUGUUCUUCCAGUUUCUUCAAUCAGAUGAGCCACACUGUCACUCUAGUGUUGAAAGGAGGGAAGGGACAGAGGUGGCCAGGAGUGUGACCCUAAAAGAGGCAGAGGAGACCUCAGAGAAAGAGAAGAAGCAUUCUCCUAACCAGAGGGAGAAGGAGAGAGGCCUCAGUUCUCCCUCUCUGGGAAUUAAUUUGAGAUUUACAUUUAGUGUCUAUAAACAUGUCAGCAGAUAUAUAAACUUAUUUGCUUUUGCUUUGUUUCCAUUUUUAGAUUCUUGAGUAUCAGAACACCACCUUCUUUGGUGGAACCUGUAUAUCCAUGAUUGAUUACCUCCUCUGGCCCUGGUUUGAGCGGCUGGAUGUGUAUGGGAUACUGGACUGUGUGAGCCACACGCCAGCCCUGCGGCUCUGGAUAUCAGCCAUGAAGUGGGACCCCACAGUCUGUGCUCUUCUCAUGGAUAAGAGCAUUUUCCAGGGCUUCUUGAAUCUCUAUUUUCAGAACAACCCUAAUGCCUUUGACUUUGGGCUGUGCUGAGUCUCACUGUCCACCCCUUCGCCGUCCAGAAUUCCCCAGCUUGUUGGGAGUCUACAUCACGGCCUGUCUUGGGAACCAAUCCGUCUCUCUUUCUUUUCUUUGAAGUUCCCAAUAAAAUGAAAACAGG